GGGCGGUUAAACGUCGCGCGACGGCCCGCCGAAAGGAUGAGCCCGCCGGACGGCGGCCGGGAACGAGUAGGCGGGUGCCGCCC
Molecule: non-coding RNA, 83 nt
Submitted as: unclassified sequences
Source: Rfam